GCUCCCUCCCGUCCGCCCGACUACCACGACUACCCUUACCGGGAACGGAACCGAAGGACCGAACGUGGGGGAAGGUUUUAGGUUCGGCCGAAUGGGGAAACCCGGUACGAACGGCAGCAACGACCGCCGUGGAGGAGUGAAGUCCUUGGGAUGUAAACUACCUUUCGAUCGGACGAUUAUGACGGUACCGGAAGAAGAAGCACCGGCUAACUCUGUGCCAGCAGCCGCGGUAAUUC
RNAcentral lists this ribosomal RNA (236 nucleotides) under uncultured bacterium. RNAcentral's name for it is "partial 16S ribosomal RNA". The stretch from base 129 to 236 matches the Rfam family "Bacterial small subunit ribosomal RNA", at positions 401 to 526 of the family's 1533-position model. The record is from RNAcentral.